Molecule: non-coding RNA, 2446 nt
Organism: Sus scrofa (pig)
Lineage: Eukaryota; Metazoa; Chordata; Mammalia; Artiodactyla; Suidae
Source: RefSeq, a predicted model, not a curated record
UGGAAACAUCCACACCACUCACCACUCCACAGCCUGGAAUGGCACAGAGCAGCCUCUGGCAAAAGGAUUGUCACCCCAAGGGGCCUUGCAGGCCGUUGUGCCCUUGGGAGUCAAGCCAGUGUGCAUGUGAGCCCCUGUAAUGCCAUUUGCUAGUUGAAUGGCUUGGCCCAGUGACUGAAUCCUUCUGAAGAUGAGAUUUGGAAUUCCUGAUAGCCUCCUUCCCUGCUAGGUGGGUUGGAGGGAAAAGGAUGGAGCCUGUGAAGCAAUGGAAGCAUCCUUUGGUCCAAGAGAGUCCGAUGAUGAAACUGAGGCACAGAGAAGUUAAAGAACUGGUCCAAGGUCAUACAGUUUGGUCUGGGGCCCUUGCUGGUAAAGGGAGGGGAGCAAGCAAGAGGAUCUCCCUGUGAAACUCUGUCCACGCACAGAUGAACUUUGCUCUAUGGGUCAGGAUCGCCCAUUUUGUAUUAUAUUCAUCCCUCCUGCCUCCAGACACGUCUCUCCUCUCUCCCCAGCUCCAGGACAGGCCCAGAGACAUCCGCUUCCAUGAGGAGCCAUCUUUGGAGCAAAAGAAUAGGAACUCCUGAAUAACCUCCACCACAGCUGUGUGCACAGAGCCCAGAACAGUAAAUUGUUCAACACUCAAGGCUCUUGGCUGUUUAACUUCUGUUAGGCAGCAGAGGCCAGGAAACAAGUGGAGAACCAGAAGAGGAAGGAAAGCCCCAGGAGUAGGCUUUACCAAGUGAGUAAAGGAAACUCUUUCCAGGAGAAAUCCAGGGUGGGAGAAGUCCGGAGCCCAGCGACCAUGUGGAGGUGGAAGAGGCUAGCAAGCGUGGCUCCUUCCUCUCCUGAGGGCAGGACCUGCAGGAAGAAAUGAGAGGGUCAAGUCUCAGCUGAGCUUUUCAGUCAAGCUUCUCCUUCAAGGAGCUGCUGGAGGUCCACGUGUCCUCUUUUGCUUGCUCUGCACCCGUGGACAUCUCAGAUCAGCUGCUGGAAUCUAUCCUCUGUCUGCUCUCAUUGCCCUUCAUCACAGCAGGUGCUGCUGCAUCAAAGGCCGAGUGAGGUGGUAUUGAGAGUAUUAUGAUUGUGCGGGUGGCCCUGCCUACAGACUGAAAGUGCGAAGACGGCUGCAUGGACUGGACGCACGCACUGACUUUCAGAGAUGGAAGUCAAGGAGAAGCCCAGAGAGGGGAGGAGGGAGCAAGCCUGAUGCAACCAGGAGGGGCUUUGAGCGCUGGUCUGCUCAGGCUGCAGAACCAAAUGCCACAGACUCGAUGGCUUCAUCACCAGAUAUUUAUUUCUCACAGUUCUAGAGGCUAGAAGGUGCCAAUGGAUUUGGUUUCUUCUGAGGCCUCUGUCCUUGGCUUGCAGAUGGCCACCUACUCCCUGUGUAUGGACAGGCCACUCAAGAUGGUUGUUCUCUUGCUCUCUGUACAUGUGCUGCUUGACCAGUGCCUGCUUCACCUACACCCUGCUCACCUGGCUGACCUUCCUACAUACUUGCCCCAGGCCCCAGCUCUUUCUAAUCAAAGAGCAGUGUGAGCUUGCCCCCCCCUCUGUUGGUUUCCCUGGUAACGAAGGAGCCCACCGGAUGUCAAUUGUCCCAGUAACUGGCAACUCCCCUAGACCCCAGCAAAGCCGCCACAUCCUGCCUGCUGUUCACUGUCCAUGGUGGGUUAUCACCGCAGGACCAUGCUUCAGACAUGUAAGCUCCCCCAUCCAUUAAACCACGAUGUCUCUGUUACUGACCCCAAGCUUUAUCUUCCAUCUUAAGACUGGCCAAGUGCAGGCCUAGUGGGCCUGUGGGGCAGAGCCCCACAAUUGGCCAAGCAGGAGACUCCUGUGAGCCCUGAGAAUUGAGAAAUACAGCACAGGGAAUGAAUCGUUGCAAGGGCUGCCCACUAGCAUGUGGGGCCAGAAAGUUUGAGGGGGUGGUUUCAGAGUUGCUGGGGAAGUCCCAGGCUAGCUGCCUACAGUUUGUGGGGACCUGUGGGCACUGUCCUUCAUGAAUGAGGGCUGCCAUUCUGGAGAACAAUGACCCCUAAUGGCUCUGCUGUCCUAUCCCGUGAGCCUUUUGUAAUUGGUUAACCUAGCUCUGCAGAAGGAAUGAUAUUUCUCUUUUUAUGCCUUUGACAUGUAAAUAGUCUGGCUCUCUGGAACUUUAAUCUUACGAGAUUUCUAAGAGUUAAGAAAGAAAGAAAGAGGCUUUAAAAUUUUUUAUGUUUUAAUUAUUUUUUUUUAUAUUGGAGAAUAGUUGAUUUACAAUGCUGUGUUAGUUUCAGGGGUACAGCAACGUGAUUCAAUUAUACAUAUACACAUAGAUAUUCUUUUUCAGAUUCUUAUCUCAUAUAGAUUAUAAUAGAAUGUUGAGUAGAGUCCUCGUUGAUUAUCUGUAUGUUGUAUGUAUAUGUUAACCCCAAACUCCUAGUUUCUCUCACCUUUUCCCUUU